AAUACAUGGACUUACUCCUUGUCACCACCCAAUUAUUGAAAAAUGUCAGCAGUGGUGACAAGCACCAGUUUCUCACCUUGGGAGAUGCAGGCUGUAUGCCAUGAGGAGACUCAAGAAGCCCUUUAGAGAGAUGUCCAUGUGGGAAACCAAGCCAUCCAUCAACAGCCAUGAUGAAAAUUUUUAAGUCACUAUAGCUGUAUAACACAUUUGCUAUAUAACAUAUAUGAAGCAAGUCAGUCCUCAUUCCCUUCUUUUUCUUCACAUUUGUUUGUGUGGUUUUACUUGCUGGUCUCGGCUUAUUCACUACUUCCUAAGAGAACCCUUCCUGUCUCCUUAAGUACACUGAAUUCUCCAGUUACAUGGAGGUAUGUUUUCU
This 376-nucleotide long non-coding RNA is filed under the name Homo sapiens (human). Its description in RNAcentral is "HSALNT0330441". The record is from RNAcentral. Lineage: Eukaryota; Metazoa; Chordata; Mammalia; Primates; Hominidae.